GUCUGGCUAGUUCAGUCAGUACUGCAUCAGACUUUUACUCUGAAGGUCCAGGGUUCAAAUCCCUGGUCAGACC
This 73-nucleotide transfer RNA is filed under the name Pelodiscus sinensis (Chinese soft-shelled turtle). It matches the Rfam family "tRNA". From Rfam's summary of the family: Transfer RNA (tRNA) molecules are approximately 80 nucleotides in length. Their secondary structure includes four short double-helical elements and three loops (D, anti-codon, and T loops). Lineage: Eukaryota; Metazoa; Chordata; Testudines; Trionychidae. The record is from Rfam by way of RNAcentral.